Long non-coding RNA from Danaus plexippus (monarch butterfly), 1074 nucleotides. RefSeq lists it as uncharacterized. The record is from RefSeq and is a predicted model, not a curated record. The transcript has 2 exons. NCBI's taxonomy places the organism in Eukaryota, Metazoa, Arthropoda, Insecta, Lepidoptera, Nymphalidae.
UACACAGCAUAAACACAGCAUCACAUUUCAAUAUUCAUUAAUAUCACAUCACUCUGAAGCACCCUGAGUUCAUCCUAAUACAUUUAAUACAGAAUAACUUUGAAGAUUUGAUAAGAGACUGGGUGUGAUCUAUAUUCUACAAUAACUUCAUGUCUCGUAAAGAGGUGAUAAAGAGCUACUGAACAUCUUGUCAGCUCUGGCCUAGCAGUUAGCACUAUUGCCCUAUAAGGCAAUAAUUAAAGCCGUUCUAAGUAGUGUAGUUCUUGUAUAGCAUGACAGCAAGGUUAAAUUAAUCACUGUGUAUAACACUAUAGCAUAUUAUAGUAACAACUAGCGGUGGCCGAGAAUGUGUUUGUGCAGAAUAGUUAUUCUUUAUUAUUUAUAUUGAUAAAUAUAUAUAAAAUUUCUGAAAUAGAAAUUCUUAAGUUAUUCAGUAUGUACCUAAAGUACAAAUCUAAGCAAGAAUCAACAGACAUAUAGACGGACAAACAAAUGUUGUAUUUAUUGCUAGUACAUGUACGGUGAAUAAACCCAUAUGGAUUUAUAAAUAUAUCUUAUUUUUUAUUACUUACAGACAAACCGUAUUUAUGUACACGUAUAUAAAAUAUGACAACACUGUUAUUAAUGUUCUUGCAACUGUUUAUUUCAGGAUUAUUUUUGGACAUAUAUUACAGCAAGGGAAAAAGUCAGCCGACUAAGAGGGAACUGAAUAAAUGAGAACCAAUAUCAGCCGAUGGCGACUCCAUAGUUAACAUCAGUCCAAAAGUGAAAGAGCCUUUUUCCAAAAUGAUAUAUGGUAUUGGGACUAUGCUGACUCAAUUAAGAUCUUCCUGUGUGCCAAUUUGACUGUUUAAUGAUGAUUAUCGCGCAGGAGCUUUUAACAUUUUAUAAAAUUUAAUUUAUCAAAGUUUCUUUAAAUAAGGAAAUUAAAUGAAAAUUUGAAAAAAAAGUAUUACAUGGCGACAUGCGAUAGAUGUUAAUAAUCACGAAAGUGAGUCACUAAAAAAAAAUUAUUUAAUAUAACAAUAAAUAUUAUAUUGUAGUUAAUUUUCUUUAUUAUAUGUGAAGCCUUUA